RNAcentral lists this ribosomal RNA (557 nucleotides) under uncultured bacterium. Its description in RNAcentral is "bacterial SSU rRNA". It matches the Rfam family "Bacterial small subunit ribosomal RNA", at positions 102 to 694 of the family's 1533-position model. The record is from RNAcentral.
ACGGGUGAGUAACGCGUGGGAACGUGCCCCUUGGUACGGAAUAGCCCCGGGAAACUGGGAGUAAUACCGUAUGAGCUCUACGGAGGAAAGAUUUAUCGCCAAGGGAUCGGCCCGCGUUGGAUUAGGUAGUUGGUGGGGUAAUGGCCUACCAAGCCGACGAUCCAUAGCUGGUUUGAGAGGAUGAUCAGCCACACUGGGACUGAGACACGGCCCAGACUCCUACGGGAGGCAGCAGUGGGGAAUCUUAGACAAUGGGCGCAAGCCUGAUCUAGCCAUGCCGCGUGAGCGAUGAAGGCCUUAGGGUUGUAAAGCUCUUUCAGCGAGGAAGAUAAUGACUGUACUCGCAGAAGAAGCCCCGGCUAACUCCGUGCCAGCAGCCGCGGUAAUACGGAGGGGGCUAGCGUUGUUCGGAAUUACUGGGCGUAAAGCGCACGUAGGCGGACUGGAAAGUCAGGGGUGAAAUCCCGGGGCUCAACCCCGGAACUGCCUUUGAAACUCCCAGUCUUGAGGUCGAGAGAGGUGAGUGGAAUUCCGAGUGUAGAGGUGAAAUUCGUAGA